Long non-coding RNA from Metopolophium dirhodum (rose-grain aphid), 333 nucleotides. RefSeq lists it as uncharacterized. The record is from RefSeq and is a predicted model, not a curated record. Lineage: Eukaryota; Metazoa; Arthropoda; Insecta; Hemiptera; Aphididae. The transcript is spliced from 3 exons.
GACGUUCUGAUGCUUCGUUCUGGCAUAACGCCAUUUUCGUGCAAAUAUAAUAUUCUUUUUCACUUUACACCUCAAAAAACCAAAAAUGGGCGCUGAAAAAGUAACCAUGAACAUCGUCGUCGUCGGACAAGUCCAAUCUGCCAAUGCCAUCAAAUCAGUUGCCAAAGCAACCCCAGUCACCAGCCAAUUGAUGAACUGUUAAUUGAAGUCCACAUCAACCUCAAACUCAAAAAUGCCAUAGCCCAAACAGUACAUAUAAUUUUAUGAUUUGUUUUUAAUUAUUAUCAUGAUGUGUAUUGACAUUCCAAAAUAAAUCAGUCUCUUCCGUCAAUG